Molecule: ribosomal RNA, 503 nt
Filed under: uncultured bacterium
Lineage: Bacteria
Description: partial 16S ribosomal RNA
Rfam family: Bacterial small subunit ribosomal RNA
Source: RNAcentral
AUUGAACGCUGGCGGCAGGCUUAACACAUGCAAGUCGAGCGGAGUGAUGGUGCUUGCACUAUCACUUAGCGGCGGACGGGUGAGUAAUGCUUAGGAAUCUGCCUAUUAGUGGGGGACAACAUCUCGAAAGGGAUGCUAAUACCGCAUACGUCCUACGGGAGAAAGCAGGGGAUCACUUGUGACCUUGCGCUAAUAGAUGAGCCUAAGUCGGAUUAGCUAGUUGGUGGGGUAAAGGCCUACCAAGGCGACGAUCUGUAGCGGGUCUGAGAGGAUGAUCCGCCACACUGGGACUGAGACACGGCCCAGACUCCUACGGGAGGCAGCAGUGGGGAAUAUUGGACAAUGGGGGGAACCUUGAUCCAGCCAUGCCGCGUGUGUGAAGAAGGCCUUAUGGUUGUAAAGCACUUUAAGUGAGGAGGAGGCUCUUUUGGUUAAUACCCAAGAUGAGUGGACGUUACUCGCAGAAUAAGCACCGGCUAACUCUGUGCCAGCCGCCGCCGUAA